RNAcentral lists this unclassified non-coding RNA (224 nucleotides) under plant metagenome. Its description in RNAcentral is "partial contains small subunit ribosomal RNA, internal transcribed spacer 1, and 5.8S ribosomal RNA". The record is from RNAcentral.
UUUCCGUAGGUGAACCUGCGGAAGGAUCAUUAAAGAAUGUCCCGUUUUUCGUAAUGGGUUCUAUUCCCAAACCGUGUCUACAUACCUUUGUUGCAUUGGCGGGCCGCCUAAGGGCGUGGGCCUCGGCUAGUUGUGCCCGCCAGAGGACCCAAACACGUUUUGUUUAGUGAUGUCUGAGUACUAUAAAAUAGUCAAAACUUUCAACAACGGAACUCUUGGUUCUG